This 250-nucleotide unclassified non-coding RNA is filed under the name plant metagenome. Its description in RNAcentral is "partial contains small subunit ribosomal RNA, internal transcribed spacer 1, and 5.8S ribosomal RNA". The record is from RNAcentral.
GUAGGUGAACCUGCGGAAGGAUCAUUAACACGUAUCCACGUAUCAACCCUUGUGCUCUCUGUUUUGGAAUGGAAUCAACUGAGGUGGGCGUGCGAAUACGCAAGUGUUCGUGCGAUUGUCUCUUUUGACUUCCAAUCUAACCUUUUUAUUAUUUUCUUUAAACCCUUUGUACCUUUCUUACUGAAACUUGAUUGUCGUUUGAUUUCGCGGCCUCACGGCCUGUGAGAUCGAAAAACAAUUAUUUUACGAA